RNAcentral lists this ribosomal RNA (841 nucleotides) under uncultured Bacilli bacterium. RNAcentral's name for it is "bacterial SSU rRNA". It matches the Rfam family "Bacterial small subunit ribosomal RNA", at positions 8 to 822 of the family's 1533-position model. Lineage: Bacteria; Bacillati; Bacillota; Bacilli. The record is from RNAcentral.
AGAGUUUGAUCAUGGCUCAGGACGAACGCUGGCGGCGUGCCUAAUACAUGCAAGUCGAACGGUCUUUUCUAUGGAAGCUUGCUUCCACUGAGAAGAUAGUGGCGGACGGGUGAGUAACACGUGGGUAACCUGCCCAUAAGAGGGGGAUAACAUCCGGAAACGGGUGCUAAUACCGCAUAGUUUUCUUGAUCGCAUGAUCGGGAAAGGAAAGACGGCCUUUGUGCUGUCGCUUAUGGAUGGACCCGCGGCGUAUUAGUUAGUUGGUGAGGUAAUGGCUCACCAAGACGAUGAUACGUAGCCGACCUGAGAGGGUGAUCGGCCACAUUGGGACUGAGACACGGCCCAAACUCCUACGGGAGGCAGCAGUAGGGAAUCUUCCGCAAUGGACGAAAGUCUGACGGAGCAACGCCGCGUGAGUGAAGAAGGUUUUCGGAUCGUAAAACUCUGUUGUCAGAGAAGAACAAGUUGGAGAGUAACUGCUCCAGCCUUGACGGUAUCUGACCAGAAAGCCACGGCUAACUACGUGCCAGCAGCCGCGGUAAUACGUAGGUGGCAAGCGUUGUCCGGAUUUAUUGGGCGUAAAGCGAGCGCAGGCGGUUCCUUAAGUCUGAUGUGAAAGCCCACGGCUCAACCGUGGAAGGUCAUUGGAAACUGGGGAACUUGAGUGCAGAAGAGGAGAGUGGAAUUCCAUGUGUAGCGGUGAAAUGCGUAGAUAUAUGGAGGAACACCAGUGGCGAAGGCGGCUCUCUGGUCUGUAACUGACGCUGAGGCUCGAAAGCGUGGGGAGCAAACAGGAUUAGAUACCCUGGUAGUCCACGCCGUAAACGAUGAGUGCUAAGUG